RNAcentral lists this long non-coding RNA (916 nucleotides) under Monodelphis domestica (gray short-tailed opossum). RNAcentral's name for it is "lncRNA (ENSMODG00000042178.1)". The record is from RNAcentral. Lineage: Eukaryota; Metazoa; Chordata; Mammalia; Didelphimorphia; Didelphidae.
GUUUAAGUUAGUGGGCAGGUAGAAAAAUCCGCUGGUACUGUAAUAGAGGGUAAUGUCACUUUAAGACAUGUGAUACUUUACCGAGCAGGGAUGUAUCGAAACAGACUACUGAUACUUCAGGGCACCGUCUAGCAGCAGUCCAGCUCUCUCGGAACAGAGCGAGUUGCCUGAUUGCACUGAAGGCAGGGGAACAGGGAUGGUCCCUCAUUAAGACGAAACUGAUUUUCAUCUGCAAGUACCCCGGGAACUAUACAUUACCUCAAGAUCCCUCCAAAGGGCUCAUCGCACAGAGGGACCACUAGCAGAUGAUUUAAAGGUGAAGAUGACAAGGUUUCCACCCCUCAAACCUUGGCUACUUUUCUGACAACGCGAUCUGAGCUCUGAUGUCUUCUUUAUUCUGGAAAUAGGAUUGAUAACAAGAAAAAGAAAGAAAGAAAUCGCUCUCCUUUUUUAAUCCCGAUAAAGAAGAUUAUUGAAAACCUCUGAUUGUGGUCCCUACACAUGGAUUUUAAAAAGUGUUAGAUCUUUCCAAUGAACACUAAUAGAGCAUUCUGCUCCUGGUUGGAUUACUCAGAGUAUGGCUAUGGUCUCUGCAAUGUCCUGGGUCCUGUAUUUGUGGAUAAGUGCUUGUGCAAUGCUCCUCUGUCAGGGAUCUCUUCAUCACACUUUCCAACAGCAUCACCUGCACAGACCAGGAGAAAAUGAGGAAGGCCCCCAGCAUGUGAUGUGGCAGACCUAUGGAGGAUUUGGACAAGAGUCUCCCAGGAUAGAUUUUCCACCACAUGCCAGGGGAAAGUUGGGUAAGUUGUCAUAUAUACUCACUUCCACGUGACUACAGCUUAAUAGGUGAGAUGGUCAGUUACAAAAAUGCCAAUUUGUUUAGUCUGGUUUUCUAAUAAAAACUUUCUGGAAUUCA